Molecule: ribosomal RNA, 222 nt
Filed under: Vibrio parahaemolyticus
Lineage: Bacteria; Pseudomonadati; Pseudomonadota; Gammaproteobacteria; Vibrionales; Vibrionaceae
Description: partial 16S ribosomal RNA
Rfam family: Bacterial small subunit ribosomal RNA
Source: RNAcentral
AAAUUGAAGAGUUUGAUCAUGGCUCAGAUUGAACGCUGGCGGCAGGCCUAACACAUGCAAGUCGAGCGGAAACGAGUUGUCAGAACCUUCGGGGGACGAUAACGGCGUCGAGCGGCGGACGGGUGAGUAAUGCCUAGGAAAUUGCCCUGAUGUGGGGGAUAACCAUUGGAAACGAUGGCUAAUACCGCAUGAUGCCUACGGGCCAAAGAGGGGGACCUUCGG